UACGUAGGGUGCAAGCGUUAAUCGGAAUUACUGGGCGUAAAGCGUGCGCAGGCGGUUUUGUAGACAGCGUGAAUACCCGGCGUCAACCUGGGAAUGGCGCUUGUGACUGCAAAGCUGGAGUGCGGCAGAGGGGGGAUGGAAUUCCGCGUGUAGCAGUGAAAUGCGUAGAUAUGCGGAGGAACACCAAUGGCGAAGGCACGCCCCCGUGGGCCGAUACUGACGCUCAUGCACG
Molecule: ribosomal RNA, 232 nt
Filed under: uncultured bacterium
Lineage: Bacteria
Description: partial 16S ribosomal RNA
Rfam family: Bacterial small subunit ribosomal RNA
Source: RNAcentral